This is a non-coding RNA of Oryctolagus cuniculus (rabbit), 785 nucleotides long. The record is from RefSeq and is a predicted model, not a curated record. NCBI's taxonomy places the organism in Eukaryota, Metazoa, Chordata, Mammalia, Lagomorpha, Leporidae.
GCUGGGGUGGGUUUCUGAGAUGCUGGUGAGAGUCGUGGAGCUGAGACCGGUACCGUGCUGGGUUUCUGAGGGGCAGGUGUAGCGUCUGGAGCUGAGACAGGUUCUGUAACGAUUUUCUGUGGUGCAGGUGUAGUGUCUGCAGCUGAAACAGGUACUGGGGUGGGUUUCUGAGGUGUAGGUAUAGUGUCUGCAGCUGAAACAGGUACUGGGGUGGGUUUCUGAGGGGCAGGUGUAGCGUCUGGAGCUGAGACAGGUUCUGUAACGAUUUUCUGAGGUGCAGGUGUAGUGUCUGCAGCUGAAACAGGUACUGUGGUGGGUUUCUGAGGGGCAGGUGUAGUGUCUGCGCCUAUAACAUUUACUGUGGUGGGUCUCUGAGAUGCAGGUGUAGUGUCUGGAGCUGAAACAGGUACUGUGGUGGGUUUCUGAGGUGCAGGUGUAGCGCCUGCAGCUGGAACGUUGACUGUGGUGGAAUGCUGAGGUGUAGGUGUAGCGUCUGCAGCUGGAACAGGUACUGUGGUGGGUCUCUGAGAUGCAGGUGUAGUGUCUGGAGCUGAAACAGGUACUGUGGCGGGUUUCUGAGGUGGUGCAGGUGUAGCGACUGUGGCUGGAACAGGUACUGUGGUGGGUUUCUGAGGUGCAGGUGUAGCAUCUGGAGCUGGAACAGGUACUGGGGUGGGUUUUUGAGGUGCAGGUGUAGCGUCUGCAGCUGGAACAUUUACUGUGGUGGGUCUCUGAGAUGCAGGUGUAGCAUCUAUAGCUGAAACAAGUACUGUGGUGGGUUUCUG